RNAcentral lists this long non-coding RNA (1922 nucleotides) under Centruroides sculpturatus (bark scorpion). Its description in RNAcentral is "uncharacterized LOC111613787, transcript variant X2". The record is from RNAcentral. Lineage: Eukaryota; Metazoa; Arthropoda; Arachnida; Scorpiones; Buthidae.
ACACUCCAAAAUUCUUAAUUAUACGUUCUCGUGACACGUUUAUGAUUAUUUUUAGAAUCAUAAAUCAACGGCACGAGUAAUCGAGUUUAUAUAAUAAAGGCAAGCAUUAUUACCAGGCAAUCUAUUGUUAGAAGUAGAAGGAACUUGCCUGUUUCAUCCGAGUUAAUUUCAUCAGGUUAAAAACUUUAAGGUGUUUGUAACCGGAGAAGUGUUUUUGAAACAUUGCAAAGUUUAUCUGGGAAAGUGAAAAAGAAGACUGAGUUACCUCAGAACGAAGUAACACGUUCUACUGUAUAAACAAUGAAUAAGAGUGUUCAAAGCUAAUAGAGAUUUUUACUAUUCAGAUAAACUCAGGAAGUUCAAAAAGUAUGAAAAAACCAACAUUUUGUAUCAAUUGUUAUCUACAGCCUUUCACUUACAUAUUGAAGGGGUUUGGUAUAAGCAUUUUUCCUACAUGCCAAGAAAUAGAAGGUGACACUAGCAAUUUCGAUCGGUUAUACUAUGCCUUCUAUGUCGUAAUUUGAGUUUUACUUUACUUUUGGGGAAUUUAUAUUUCUGUGGUUGACGAGCAAACAAGUAUUCAAUAUUGUGGGGGUAUCCUCUAUAAAAUUAAAGAUAAUUACGCUACAAUCAUUUUCACCAAAUGUUUGGUCAUAGGGAUAUUUUCGUCGGGACUGAUUUGCUUAGUUAAAAUUUAUUUUCAAAACAAUGGAAAGUUUCAGACAUUCGAAUAUAAUUAUAAAGGCGAGAUAGAAAAGUUGUUGACGGUCAGGGAAUGGGUUCGAAGAUUCGUAUUAUUUCUGUUUGUUUCUGGAUGCGUAAUAAUAUCAUUUGGGAUUGAUGUUGUAAUUCGAUACAUUUCCAUUCCCGAAAAUCAAUUAGUAAUUUGCUCACUCUGUUAUCUUUUGUUUUAUAUUUGGUGUUUUGGUGUUUUAUUACAUUUUGUUUUCGUCGUAUUUCUCGUACUGUACUUCAUAAAAGUAAAAUUUGAAAAUAUCUGUCAGGCUUUAUCAGAGUGUAGAAGAUGUCCAGAAAAAAUUAAAAUUGCUUUAAAAAUCGAAGAAAGAAAAUUUGUUGAAUUGUGCGAAAUUACCGAAGAAGUAGACAAUAAAUUUUCUUACUUAAUUUCGAUUGUAUACUUCUGUACCAUUAACUCGAUAGCUUUUAGUCUCUAUUACGUCCUUUUCGCACCUUCCCUUUAUAAAAUUUUUAUCGGACUUUUUUGGCUCUUGUAAUCACAUUAUUACUUGUUGUUUUUGGGUUUGCUGUUGCUGAUAUUCCAGUGAAGGCUUCAUCUCCUAUCGAACACCUACGUAUUUUAAGUGUUUGCCAAUUGGAUGUUAUUGAUAAAUGGAAGGCGGUAACAUUCAUGAAGUGCAUCCGUGAAGAGCGCAUCGGAUUUCAUUACUUUGGAACAAUUGUUUAUACUAAACACUCCGUCAUUCAGGCAGUAAGUUCAAUAGGGAGUGUAUUGUCCACUCUCAUGCAAUUCAGAGAUCUGAUGUCGGAUGAAUAUCUUUCUUCGAUCUGUGAUAAAACGCUAUUCGAAAAUUUAUAUAAUUAAAGUACAGUAGAGUAUCCACAGUCCAUCACUUGCCGGUAUGGUAGGUCACGUAAUCCGACACUCAGCAUUACAGCGCACGUGUUACUACUUGUAAAUGUAUGUGACAGAGAGAGACUGAUGUACAGUAUAGUACAUAUGUAAAUAAAAUAGAGUGGCACGAAUUGUUGUAACGUCACACACAAGGCGUUUAAAGCGACAGAGGAGCAACAAGAAAAUCGAGAUAAAGCAAUUGGAUUAUUGGUCCUAUGAAGUGUUUUUUCUAAGUGAUUUUAGGUAUUGUUUGUAGUUAGACUUAGUUUUAAGUUACUAAAUUGUCGGGAGACUUGUAUACUUUGUGUUGGUUUUGACUCGUUAUUAA